CCGCUACCUGCAGUCGAGCGGCAGCGGAGGUACCUUGCUACGUUGCCGGCGAGCGGCGGACGGGUGAAUAGUGUCUGGAAAAGUGCCUGAUGGAGGGAGAUAUCUAGUGGAAACGGUAUCUAAUACCGCAUAGUGUCGCAAGACCAAAGAGGGGGAUCUUCGGCCCUCUUGCCCUCAUAUGUGCCCAUAUGGUAUUAUCUAAUAUGUGGGGUAGCGGCUCCCCUAGGCGACUAUCCCUAUGUGGUCUGAGAGGAUGACCAGCCACUGUGGAUCUGACACACGGUCCACACUCCUACGGGAGGCAACAGUGGGGAAUAUUGCACAGUGGGCGCAAGCCUGAUGCACCCGUGCCGCGUGUAUGAAAAAGGUCUUCGGUUUGUAGAGUAUUUUCCGCGGAGAAGAAGGUGUUGAGGUUAAUACCCUCAGCUAGUGACGUUACCCGCAAAAGAAGCACCGGCUAUCUCCGUGCCAGCACCCGCGGUAAUACAGAGGGUGCAAGCGUUACUCAGAUUUAGUGGGCGUAAAGCGCACGCACGCGCUCUGUCGAGUCAUAUGUGAUCUCCCCGGUCUCACCCUGAGAUCUGCAUUCGACUCUGGCGCGCUAGACUCGUGUAGAGGGGUAUAGAAUUCGAUGUGUAGCGGUGAUGUGCAUAGAGAUCUGGAAGAAUACCGGUGGCGAACGCGCCCCCGUGCACAGACACUGACUCUCAUGUGCGAGCGCGUGGAGAGCACACAAUAUUAUAUACCCUGAUACUCCACGCCAUACGCUAUGUCGACUUGGGUUGUGUGCCCUUGACGCGUGUCUUCCGGAUCUCACGCGUUAACUCGACCGUCUGGAGUGUACGGCACAGGUUACACUCAUAUGAUGUGACGGGGCCCGCACAGCUGUGAACAUGUGUUUUAUCUCUAUGCAGCGCGAGACCUUCAUCACUCUUGAUCUCGAGAGAUCUUUACAGAUGUGCUUUGGUGCUCUUCGAAUCUCUGACACAGCUGCUGCAUGUCU
This 1003-nucleotide ribosomal RNA is filed under the name uncultured prokaryote. RNAcentral describes it as "bacterial SSU rRNA". It matches the Rfam family "Bacterial small subunit ribosomal RNA", at positions 48 to 1050 of the family's 1533-position model. The record is from RNAcentral.